Stegodyphus dumicola is the source of this 2237-nucleotide long non-coding RNA. Lineage: Eukaryota; Metazoa; Arthropoda; Arachnida; Araneae; Eresidae. The record is from RefSeq and is a predicted model, not a curated record.
UGCUUUUUAGAUUUCACACAUUUCAUCAGGAUACUCUGCCAAUUGUAAACCAGUUUAGUGAAAAAGGCAUGGUUCUGAAAGUUGAUGGAAGUAAAGAUGCUGAUGCAGUUUUUCAAACAAUUCAAGAACUGUUCCGUCAGUAUGCAUAGAAAAGCAAGAUCUGUCCUAUUUUUAAUUAUUUUGUUGCAUUUAUCAGAAAAUGCAGUUGAAAAUUUUCUGCUCUUCUAAUACAAACUCUAUUAUCUUAAAAAGAUAUAAAGGAAUUUUACCAUAGUUAAAGCUAGUUAUCUGUUACUAUCCAGACUUUUAUACGUAUAUAUAGUUAUUUGACUGUGUUUUACAUUGCAAUGUGGUAUCUAUUGCUCCUAUGUAACAAUGUUUCAAUUUUAUUUGUAUUUGAUUUUCCAUAUAAUGUAUAUAGAAUUAGUUUUUACUGCUUGUGGCAACUGUUCUGUUUUGCUGUUAAUUAUGCAUGUUCAUGACUCUUCUACUUAAAUAUUGAGUGAUGUUUUAUAAAAAGGGAACUAUAUAAAAACAAUAAAUUGAUAUGUGAAUAGAAAUGAUUAUUCAAAGAUAAUGCAUGCAAAUUUUCAUCAAAACAUAAAAAUUUUGUAUUUUCUUUUGAAGGUUGCUUAAAUACUAUUAUAGUGGUUAAACUCAAUUUGAGUAUAUUCAUAGCUGCAAGUAGUCCUGGUUUUCAACAUAUCUCCUAGUGUCCUGAAUAUCCUGGAACACUGAAUCUUGUACUUUUCAUUUUAAGCUUUUACUAAGGAAAAUUUUUCCCACCAUUAGAUAAAAUUUAUUAAAUAAAUGAAACUUAAAUUGUGUAAAUUCCAUCCCACCUGUAGUGAUUUUGAGCAUAAAUUUUCUUAUUAAAUUGUAUUUAGUCCGAAUUGUUUUAAUUUGAUGUAGACAUCUGUAUAAUUUAUUAUGAGGAUUCAAACAAUCGGUUAAUAUUUAUAUUAAUUUUUGUUUUACAACAAUAUAAAUGUUACAUUUUUAAGUUUAUUCAUACACUAAUAUAUGUAUAAAUUAAUUAUUAGCUUUCCUUCCAUUUUUUCUCUAAAUAAGAAUGUUAGGAAAAUUGCAAAAUGAGAUUAGCCAAAGAACAAAAAAUGUUGGUGAAACAUUAAUAUAUUUCAUAUCAGAAUCAUACAGAUAAUUCAAUAACCUGAAUCAUCAUGCAUUAUAAAGUCAGUUUGCAGUUCCUUAGGAAUGGCAUUUUCAUACAGUGCAAAAACUCCCAUUUUUUUUAUAUUCGGCUGUUAGCAGCUAUGGUGUAUUAAAAUUGUUAUUUUUGAGCAGUUGUAUUUUGAAGUAAAGGCAAUAAAUUCUAAUCAAAUUUUCUUGAUAAAUUACAAUUUUUUAUAACAACUGCAAUGAAUUAUGUAAAUUGCUUGCAGUAUUGCCAAGGUAAAGUAAUAAUACUAAACUAUAAUUAAAAAUUAAAUACUUCUGAAUACUAAGUAUAUUGAGGUACAAGCAAAGAUUUUUAUAUCUAGUUAUUCAUUUUUUAUAAAGGAAAUACCAGAAGUAUGGUUAAAAUUAAAUUUUUGUAAUAUCUAAUAGCUAUAAAUUACAGUAAUUUCAUCUUAAAUAUAAAACAUUUAUUAUUAGAAUUUUCCAAACAAGCAUUUUUUUUUUUUUUUUUUUUUUUUUUUUUUUUUUUUUUUUUUUUUUUGAAAAAUGUAAUUUUGUUUUUUCAUUGAUUCAUUAAAUGCAUCAUUACUUGGUAAACACUAGUUCCUUUAUUUCAGUCUUCCAAAGUGAUUGCAAUAAAGUUUAAAAAAUUAUCUUUUAUUAGGCAAAUUAUUUUGUGUUCUUAAAGAGGAGAUAAAAAAUGCAAUUCCAAUUAUUGUCACUUCUCCCCCAACUAAUCUUAACAUUCCAUCACAUCCAUGUCUAAAUUUUAAUUUAUUUUUGAAAUAAUAAUUGCACAUUUCUAAAAUAUUUCAUGUUUAUCAAAUUAUGUCAAAUCACUUGUGCAAAAUGUAAUUCUUAUCAUGAUUGUAUAAUUUUUUACUGCGCCAAAUAUAAUUACAAUCAUUAAAUGUUUGUGAAGUAUCUUUUUUUAUUUAUUGAUGUAUGAAAAAUUAGCAGCACAUGCAAUAUUGUUAUAAAUGGUUCUAUUGAACAAAUGUUAAUCUGUACUUGCUGAAAGUAUUUAUGGGCUUUAAUAUUUAUUUAUAGAAUAGAAAUUAUUCUUAUUGUCUAUAUUAAAUAUUUACAUGGUAAAA